This 198-nucleotide unclassified non-coding RNA is filed under the name fungal sp. RNAcentral's name for it is "partial internal transcribed spacer region". The stretch from base 1 to 46 matches the Rfam family "Eukaryotic small subunit ribosomal RNA", at positions 1786 to 1831 of the family's 1831-position model. The record is from RNAcentral. Lineage: Eukaryota; Fungi.
AAGUCGUAACAAGGUUUCCGUAGGUGAACCUGCGGAAGGAUCAUUACAGUGGUAGGCUUCGGCCUCAUUCACACCCCCUGUGUUACCUCUGGUUUCUUUGGCGAGGUCCCCUCGUCAAACUUUAACGCUGAGAAUGUGGUACUGUCCGAGUGCGAUUGAAUUAUCAAAAAACUUUCAACAACGGAUCUCUUGGUUCCA